This is a long non-coding RNA of Cyanistes caeruleus (blue tit), 1346 nucleotides long. The record is from Ensembl. NCBI's taxonomy places the organism in Eukaryota, Metazoa, Chordata, Aves, Passeriformes, Paridae.
AAAUAAGAAAAAAAUAAUUAACAUUAAUUUCAAUUUUUAAGCAAGAAUUGAAAAAAAAUAUAUGCUAAAAUAUUUAAGGAAAAAUUUGUUUGGUAGAGAAUUUAACACAUAAAAGACAAUUUGGAGAGUUUUACUGCUGCUAUACAACAACAUGUAUCUUACUGUGAAACAGAUUGCAUGAACGAAGUGGAUGUGAAAAAAAUGCUAUUUGUACCACUGUCAUUGUUAACUAUACAUGUAUUAUAAAUUAAAUGCCAGGUUAAUAUUAAUCAAAUCAUAAUUUUUGUGUUUUAGAAAUAAUAUCACUUUCUAAAGCUAAACUUUCUAAACACUUGCAUCAUUGCCUAGUCGGUCAAUAAUUGCAUUUGGGAUAAAGGCCUAAAAUUAUGUCCUGAUAUUUACAUGUGCAGCUACCUUUGUUGCAAAUAGCAUUUACACUAUUAAUAAUGAGGGUGAAAAAAGCUACACCAUAAGCAAUGCAUCAGAAGCAGAACUCAGAUUAUAGACAUCAUGACCACUGAUAUAUGCUAUAAUAUUUUUUAACUUCCUACAGAAAUAGUGUAUUUCUGUGUCUCUCACUGUCUCUCAUAGCUGCUACCUUGCAGCUAGAACAUGAUACAAGGCAUGGGUUUCCAAAGGUUGCUUUAAAAAUUAACCAGCAAGUUGCAAUAAUUUCUAGUGAAAAGACAAAAUCUAACAUUAACUCUAAAUGAAUGCAUAAAAUUGACAAAUUAGAUUUGGCCAUUGUGAACUGAGACGCUUCAAUUAAAUACUUCCUCCUUAAUUUGCAUAAAUUUUUAUGCUGCAACAUGUUUUGGCAUAUUUUUCCCUCUUCUUUUCCUCUUGAUACAUUUCUUAUUGCCAAUGUAAAAUUUAUUUCCUUUUUCAGGUGGCAUAAGGAAGAGGGGAACUUGAAUGUGGAGAAGGGCAGUUCUGGCAAUAAGAUGAAAUGGGCAGAAAAAACUUUCUUUGAUUUAAAAUUCAAUGUAAGGAGACUGAAGAUAACCCUGAAUGAAACUGGAAGAAAGCAUGCGUUUCCUGGUAAAAAUGAGAAGCUAAUACAUUUGCAAAAUUCUUCUGUGUCCUUCUCAGGCGGCUUAGGCUGUUCGGAAGACCAGAUGAAUUGUGUGAGAAGGCUGUCCUGCUGCAGUUAGAAAGUAUGAGAAAGGAGUGUGUGGGUGCGGUCUUCGCCUUUGCCACCUGUGCUGGCUGUCACUGAAUCAGCAGUAGGUUGACCUAAGCAGCUGUCUCCAAUUUGGCUUUCCACACUGGGGGUCCCUGGAGCAAGAUUACUGCAUAACAGUGGCAGGUGUACCUGAUAGUCCUGGAGAAAAGUCCUUUGUAAG